UACGUAGGGUGCAAGCGUUGUCCGGAAUUACUGGGCGUAAAGGGCUCGUAGGCGGCCAACUAAGUCAGACGUGAAAUCCCUCGGCUUAACCGGGGAACUGCGUCUGAUACUGGAUGGCUUGAGUUUGGGAGAGGGAUGCGGAAUUCCCAGUGUAGAGGUGAAAUUCGUAGAUAUUGGGAAGAAACACCGGUGGCGAAGGCGGCCAUCUGGACCGCAACUGACGCUGAGGCGCGAAAGCGUGGGGAGCAAACAGG
RNAcentral lists this ribosomal RNA (254 nucleotides) under uncultured bacterium. RNAcentral describes it as "partial 16S ribosomal RNA". It matches the Rfam family "Bacterial small subunit ribosomal RNA", at positions 524 to 776 of the family's 1533-position model. The record is from RNAcentral.